This 431-nucleotide ribosomal RNA is filed under the name uncultured ammonia-oxidizing bacterium. RNAcentral describes it as "bacterial SSU rRNA". It matches the Rfam family "Bacterial small subunit ribosomal RNA", at positions 207 to 622 of the family's 1533-position model. The record is from RNAcentral.
CAAGACCUUGCGCUCUUGGAGCGNGCCGAUGUCUGAUUAGCUAGUUGGUGGGGUAACGGCUUNACCAAGGCGACGAUCAGUAGCUGGUCUGAGAGGACGACCAGCCACACUGGGACUGAGACACGGCCCAGACUCCUACGGGAGGCAGCAGUGGGGAAUUUUGGACAAUGGGGGAAACCCUGAUCCAGCCAUGCCGCGUGAGUGAAGAAGGCCUUCGGGUUGUAAAGCUCUUUCAGCCGGNAACGAAACGNGUCACGGCUAAUACCUGUGAUCACUGACGGUANNCCGGAAGAAGAAGCACCGGCUAACUACGUGCCAGCAGCCGCGGUAAUACGUAGGGUGCAAGCGUUAAUCGGAAUUACUGGGCGUAAAGCGUGCGCAGGCGGUUUUGNUAAGUCAGAUGUGAAAUCCCCGGGCUUAACCUGGGAACU